This 396-nucleotide ribosomal RNA is filed under the name uncultured soil bacterium. RNAcentral describes it as "bacterial SSU rRNA". It matches the Rfam family "Bacterial small subunit ribosomal RNA", at positions 26 to 412 of the family's 1533-position model. The record is from RNAcentral.
AGAUUGAACGCUGGCGGCAUGCCUUACACAUGCAAGUCGAACGGUAGCACGGGAGCAAUCCUGGUGGCGAGUGGCGAACGGGUGAGUAAUAUAUCGGAACGUGCCCAGUCGUGGGGGAUAACGUAGAGAAAUUUACGCUAAUACCGCAUACGAUCCAAGGAUGAAAGCGGGGGACCGUAAGGCCUCGCGCGACUGGAGCGGCUGAUAUCAGAUUAGCUUGUUGGUGAGGUAAAAGCUCACCAAGGCGACGAUCUGUAGCUGGUUUGAGAGAACGACCGGCCACACUGGGACUGAGACACGGCCCAGACUCCGUACGGGAGGCAGCGAGGUGGGGAAUAUUGACAACUAAGUGGGACGAAAGCCGUAGAUGCAGCGACCGGCCGCGUGGAGGGAGUA